GAGAGGUGCUUGCACCUUUCAAGCGAGUGGCGAACGGGUGAGUAAACGUGGAUAACCUGCCUCAAGGCUGGGGAUAACAUUUGGAAACAGAUGCUAAUACCGAAUAAAACUUAGUAUCGCAUGAUAUCAAGUUAAAAGGCGCUACGGCGUCACCUAGAGAUGGAUCCGCGGUGCAUUAGUUAGUUGGUGGGGUAAAGGCUUACCAAGACGAUGAUGCAUAGCCGAGUUGAGAGACUGAUCGGCCACAUUGGGACUGAGACACGGCCCAAACUCCUACGGGAGGCUGCAGUAGGGAAUCUUCCACAAUGGGCGCAAGCCUGAUGGAGCAACGCCGCGUGUGUGAUGAAGGCUUUCGGGUCGUAAAGCACUGUUGUAUGGGAAGAAAUGCUAAAAUAGGGAAUGAUUUUAGUUUGACGGUACCAUACCAGAAAGGGACGGCUAAAUACGUGCCAGCAGCCGCGGUAAUACGUAUGUCCCGAGCGUUAUCCGGAUUUAUUGGGCGUAAAGCGAGCGCAGACGGUUGAUUAAGUCUGAUGUGAAAGCCCGGAGCUCAACUCCGGAAUGGCAUUGGAAACUGGUUAACUUGAGUGUUGUAGAGGUAAGUGGAACUCCAUUUUUA
This 619-nucleotide ribosomal RNA is filed under the name Leuconostoc sp. RNAcentral's name for it is "bacterial SSU rRNA". It matches the Rfam family "Bacterial small subunit ribosomal RNA", at positions 71 to 677 of the family's 1533-position model. The record is from RNAcentral. Lineage: Bacteria; Bacillati; Bacillota; Bacilli; Lactobacillales; Lactobacillaceae.